UCGGAUAAUAAAAGGCACAGCAUAGAACUGUAGGCCAAAAACCUUAGGCUUACGAUAAUUAAGAUUGAAUUUAUGAAGAUUGAUAUACUUAGCUUAAACACCCCUAGAGACCACUGUGCUGAUUUCGGCUACGGGUAGCAUCCCUCGAUGGCAGCCCAACCAGUGGACACGUUAGCAGCGUGAACAUGCGGGACCCGAAAAUAUGUUGGUUUGCUUUCGCUGGUUAUUUAUAUGCAAGUCAGGACCUGGUCGAACGUAAUGGCGUCAGGAGCGAUUUCCGGACCCAUCAUCCCAUCAAUCGCCUCGCUGGUCACUAAUGGAAAAUCGGGCGAGCCACCCCCGUUUUACGGCUGGUGGAUGAUUUAACAGUCGGCUGGAAAAAUGGCUUAAAGCGGCUUAAAGCGAACGUCACAUAUGCCCCGAAAUACCCUACUUGCGCCAUAUUGAAGUAUUGAUCGAAUCGAAUACAACCCAAUCGAAUCAUUAAAUUGGUUCAUUU
This is a long non-coding RNA of Drosophila mauritiana, 499 nucleotides long. RefSeq lists it as uncharacterized. The transcript is spliced from 3 exons. The record is from RefSeq and is a predicted model, not a curated record. Lineage: Eukaryota; Metazoa; Arthropoda; Insecta; Diptera; Drosophilidae.